GAUGAACGCUAGCGGCAGGCUUAAUACAUGCAAGUUGAGGGGCAGCAUGAUAUACGCGAGUAUACUGAUGGCGACCGGCGGACGGGUGAGUAAUAGGUAGGAGACCUACCUCAUACAGGGGGAUAGCAUAGAGAAAUCUGUGGUAAUACCCCAUGAGGUUAUAUGAAUAGAGGCAUAUAAUCAAAGCAUAAGCGAUUAUGCGGUAUGAGAGGGGCCUACUGACCAUUAGCUAGUUGGUGAGGUAAGGGCUCACCAAGGCGAAGAUGGUUAGGGGUUUUGAGAGAGAGACCCCCCACAUUGGAACUGAGAGACGGUCCAGACUCCUACGGGAGGCAGCAGUAGGGAAUAUUGGGCAAUGGGCGAAAGCCUGACCCAGCCAUGCCGCGUGAAGGAAGACGGCCUUAUGGGUUGUAAACUUCUUUACUACGCGAAUAGAGGUUAGUACGAGAUACUAAUAGGAAGGUAGUGUAGUAAAAGCACCGGCUAACUCCGUG
RNAcentral lists this ribosomal RNA (494 nucleotides) under uncultured bacterium. RNAcentral's name for it is "bacterial SSU rRNA". It matches the Rfam family "Bacterial small subunit ribosomal RNA", at positions 28 to 507 of the family's 1533-position model. The record is from RNAcentral.